RNAcentral lists this ribosomal RNA (463 nucleotides) under uncultured bacterium. Its description in RNAcentral is "bacterial SSU rRNA". It matches the Rfam family "Bacterial small subunit ribosomal RNA", at positions 340 to 786 of the family's 1533-position model. The record is from RNAcentral.
UACGGAAGGCAGCAGUGGGGAAUAUUGCACAAUGGGCGAAAGCCUGAUGCAGCUAUGCCGCGUGUAUGAAGAAGGCCUUAGGGUUGUAAAGUACUUUCAUCGGGGAGGAAAAAAACAAAAACUAAUAAUUUUAUUUUCUUUGACGUUACCCGAAAAAGAAGCACCGGCUAACUCCGUGCCAGCAGCCGCGGUAAUACGGAGGGUGCUAGCGUUAAUCAGAAUUACUGGGCGUAAAGAGCACGUAGGUGAUUUUUUUAAGUUCAGAUGUGAAAUCCCUGGGCUUAACCUAGGAACUGCAUUUUGAAACUGAAAUACUAGAGUAUCGUAGAGGGAGGUAGAAUUCUAGGUGUAGCGGUGAAAUGCGUAGAUAUCUGGAGGAAUACCUGUGGCGAAAGCGGCCUCCUAAACGAAUACUGACACUGAGGUGCGAAAGCGUUGGGGAGCAAACAGGGAUUUAGAUACC